This 29-nucleotide non-coding RNA is filed under the name Cricetulus griseus (Chinese hamster). The record is from RNAcentral. Lineage: Eukaryota; Metazoa; Chordata; Mammalia; Rodentia; Cricetidae.
UGCUCAUUCGUACUCUUUGUUAUCUCUAG